This 251-nucleotide unclassified non-coding RNA is filed under the name rhizosphere metagenome. RNAcentral's name for it is "partial ribosomal RNA internal transcribed spacer region". The record is from RNAcentral.
GUAGGUGAACCUGCGGAAGGAUCAUUUCCAAAUCCAAAAAUCUUAUAUCAACCCUGUGUGCACUUAUUGAAACCGUACUUUGGGAGAUGGAGUUUUAAAUAACUCAUCUCCCAUCUUGUUGUUUUUUUUUCUUAAAAACAAAAAGAACAAUAGGAACCAAGUUUUUUUUAACCCCUUCUGUAUUUUGUCUUUGAAUUUAAAAAAGUUAAAAAAUAUUCACACAACUUUUAACGGUGGAUCUCUUGGCUCGU